RNAcentral lists this ribosomal RNA (747 nucleotides) under Triticum aestivum (bread wheat). Its description in RNAcentral is "partial small subunit ribosomal RNA". Lineage: Eukaryota; Viridiplantae; Streptophyta; Magnoliopsida; Poales; Poaceae. The record is from RNAcentral.
AUGGAGGAGAGGCUGAAACUAAGUCGCGACAGCACGACGGAGGAAGUGGAUGCUACGCAGUACCGACGCCUUGUGGGGAGCCUUCGCUACCUCACUCACACACGGCCGGACUUGGCAUUCUCCGUCGGCUAUGUCAGUCGGUUCAUGGAGCGACCAACGUCGGAACACCAGCAGGCAGUGAAGAGGAUCGUCCGCUACAUAGCAGGGACCCUCGACCACGGCCUCCAUUACCCUAGGUGCCCUGGGGCGGCACACUUCGUCGGGUACAGCGACAGCGACCACGCCGGCGACAUCGACACCAGCAAGAGCACGAGCGGGAUCCUCCUCUUCCUCGGCAAGUGUCUCGUGAGCUGGCAAUCAGUCAAGCAGCAGGUGGUGGCCCUGUCCAGCUGUGAGGCUGAGUACAUAGCGGCCUCCACCGCCUGUACUCAGGCGCUCUGGCUUGCUCGACUGCUUGGUGAUCUUCUCGUUCAAGACACCAGAACGGUGCAGCUCCUGGUGGACAGCAAGUCCGCCCUGGCCCUGGCAAAGAACCCCGUGUUCCACGAACGGAGCAAGCACAUCCGACUGAGGUAUCACUUCAUUCGCAGCUGUGUGGAAGAAGGGAGCAUCGAGGCGAGCUACAUCAACACCAAGGAUCAGCUCGCAGACCUGCUCACCAAGCCCCUUGGGAGGGUCAAGUUCCUCGAACUUUGCUCCAGGAUUGGGAUGAUUCAACUCUCCCACAAGACGACGUACAAGACUUAG